RNAcentral lists this ribosomal RNA (345 nucleotides) under Pseudamnicola sp. Peloponnese. Its description in RNAcentral is "partial 16S ribosomal RNA". It matches the Rfam family "Bacterial large subunit ribosomal RNA", at positions 2048 to 2587 of the family's 2925-position model. Lineage: Eukaryota; Metazoa; Mollusca; Gastropoda; Littorinimorpha; Hydrobiidae. The record is from RNAcentral.
CUCUUAUAGAUUUUAUAGAAUUUGGUUUUUAGGUGAAGAAACCUAAAUAUAAUUAAAAGACAAGAAGACCCUAUCGAGCUUAAAAUAAUUUUUUUGGUAUAAUGGUAACACCUUACUCAAAAAAAGAUUUUAGUUGGGGCGACUAAGGAACACAAAAAGCUUCCUAUAAACUAUAGCUGCUAAUAAGUAUUGAUCCAAAAAUUUGAUUAACAGAAUUAGUUACCGUAGGGAUAACAGCAUAAUCUUUUCUAAGAGUCCUUAUCGAAGAAAAGGUUUGUGACCUCGAUGUUGGACUAGGGUGCCCAGACAGGUGCAGAAGCCUUCAAUGGUUGGUCUGUUCGACCA